GAUUCGCUUUAUCUUCUUCUUCUGCGUUUUUGUGUUGUGCGUGAUGUUGCGUGGUCGUUGUCAUCAUUUCUACAGGUCGUCGAUGAUGAUGAGGCGACGAUGAUGGGAUGGAUGUUGGUGAUCGAUGAAGAGAUGAUUGAAGAAUUCGUUGAUGAGGAUGAUGAUGAUGCAGAGGCGUUGUUGAAGAUACUAAAUUGUCGAUUAAGGAGAGAUUGGUGGAAUUCGGUAUUCGUCGCGGUUCGGUUAGAGAUGCGUUUCUGUUACGUUUUUUUUCUGAUGAUUCUCAACCUCUUGUUCUUCUCUCUGAAUUCAGAGUUGAUGAAGAUGAAACUCUGAAGAUUGGUUGAAGAACGACUCUGGAUUGAAGUUUGGUGCGAUGAAGAAGAUGGUUUUUCUUUGUCGAUUUUCUGUUGUGAUUCUCGAUCUCUAUUUGCAGAUUGAAGAAUUGGUGGAGGAUUUUUAUUAUUGAAGGUUGGUAGUGAUUGAAGAUGGAUGAAGGCUGAAGAGUUUUUGAUGAAGGUGAGAAUUGAAAGUGAAUGAAGGAGAUGAGAACAAAAAUGGUGGUGAGGAAUGAAGAGAAUGGAGAAGAUUGAAGGCGUGAAGGGUGAAGAAGAAGGGCCUCCGAGAUUGAAGGUUGAUGUUUCUGUUAUAUAGAGUGUGAAGAGCCGAAUAUUGAGAAUCUGAGCUUCAAGCUUUGGAGUACUGAACCGACUUAUAUAUUGCUGCAGAUUUUAUUUGUAUGAUGGAGUUAGCCGGUCUUGGUAUUUUGUCACUGCGGUUCAGCUUCGGUUUAUAAGUGCAAGGUGGAGUUUGGACUGAUAUAGUGCGGCUUAUAUGUGCAGGCUCUGUUUCGAUUGAAAUGGCAUGUUUGUUGCUGGUUUUUUCUUCAUGUGAACUCUGCUUUGGUGUUAAGGCAUGCUGAAAGUGUUUGAAUCGAUACCGUCUUCUCUUUUGCAGGUUGAACACAUGGUUACUUGGGAUGGUUGAGUGGAUUUGCGCCUUUGAAUUCAAUCCGUAGCUUGUUCUUCUUAUUUUCUGUUAAGUGAAGUGUAAGCUGGUAUGUGAUUCUUGAAAGUGAAGCAAUUUGGAACUUGAAGGUCACCCUGAAGUUGAAGCUUGAAGGCUGAGGCAAGGA
This is a long non-coding RNA of Vicia villosa (hairy vetch), 1135 nucleotides long. RefSeq lists it as uncharacterized. The record is from RefSeq and is a predicted model, not a curated record. Lineage: Eukaryota; Viridiplantae; Streptophyta; Magnoliopsida; Fabales; Fabaceae. The transcript has 3 exons.